UUAAAUUGAAGAGUUUGAUCAUGGCUCAGAUUGAACGCUGGCGGCAGGCCUAACACAUGCAAGUCGAACGGUAACAGAAAGCAGCUUGCUGCUUUGCUGACGAGUGGCGGACGGGUGAGUAAUGUCUGGGAAACUGCCCGAUGGAGGGGGAUAACUACUGGAAACGGUAGCUAAUACCGCAUAACGUCGCAAGACCAAAGAGGGGGACCUUAGGGCCUCUUGCCAUCGGAUGUGCCCAGAUGGGAUUAGCUAGUAGGUGGGGUAAAGGCUCACCUAGGCGACGAUCCCUAGCUGGUCUGAGAGGAUGACCAGCCACACUGGAACUGAGACACGGUCCAGACUCCUACGGGAGGCAGCAGUGGGGAAUAUUGCACAAUGGGCGCAAGCCUGAUGCAGCCAUGCCGCGUGUAUGAAGAAGGCCUUCGGGUUGUAAAGUACUUUCAGCGGGGAGGAAGGGAGUAAAGUUAAUACCUUUGCUCAUUGACGUUACCCGCAGAAGAAGCACCGGCUAACUCCGUGCCAGCAGCCGCGGUAAUACGGAGGGUGCAAGCGUUAAUCGGAAUUACUGGGCGUAAAGCGCACGCAGGCGGUUUGUUAAGUCAGAUGUGAAAUCCCCGGGCUCAACCUGGGAACUGCAUCUGAUACUGGCAAGCUUGAGUCUCGUAGAGGGGGGUAGAAUUCCAGGUGUAGCGGUGAAAUGCGUAGAGAUCUGGAGGAAUACCGGUGGCGAAGGCGGCCCCCUGGACGAAGACUGACGCUCAGGUGCGAAAGCGUGGGGAGCAAACAGGAUUAGAUACCCUGGUAGUCCACGCCGUAAACGAUGUCGACUUGGAGGUUGUGCCCUUGAGGCGUGGCUUCCGGAGCUAACGCGUUAAGUCGACCGCCUGGGGAGUACGGCCGCAAGGUUAAAACUCAAAUGAAUUGACGGGGGCCCGCACAAGCGGUGGAGCAUGUGGUUUAAUUCGAUGCAACGCGAAGAACCUUACCUGGUCUUGACAUCCACGGAAGUUUUCAGAGAUGAGAAUGUGCCUUCGGGAACCGUGAGACAGGUGCUGCAUGGCUGUCGUCAGCUCGUGUUGUGAAAUGUUGGGUUAAGUCCCGCAACGAGCGCAACCCUUAUCCUUUGUUGCCAGCGGUCCGGCCGGGAACUCAAAGGAGACUGCCAGUGAUAAACUGGAGGAAGGUGGGGAUGACGUCAAGUCAUCAUGGCCCUUACGACCAGGGCUACACACGUGCUACAAUGGCGCAUACAAAGAGAAGCGACCUCGCGAGAGCAAGCGGACCUCAUAAAGUGCGUCGUAGUCCGGAUUGGAGUCUGCAACUCGACUCCAUGAAGUCGGAAUCGCUAGUAAUCGUGGAUCAGAAUGCCACGGUGAAUACGUUCCCGGGCCUUGUACACACCGCCCGUCACACCAUGGGAGUGGGUUGCAAAAGAAGUAGGUAGCUUAACCUUCGGGAGGGCGCUUACCACUUUGUGAUUCAUGACUGGGGUGAAGUCGUAACAAGGUAACCGUAGGGGAACCUGCGGUUGGAUCACCUCCUUACCUUAAAGAAGC
This 1556-nucleotide ribosomal RNA is filed under the name Escherichia coli. Its description in RNAcentral is "bacterial SSU rRNA". It matches the Rfam family "Bacterial small subunit ribosomal RNA". Lineage: Bacteria; Pseudomonadati; Pseudomonadota; Gammaproteobacteria; Enterobacterales; Enterobacteriaceae. The record is from RNAcentral.